GCAAGUCGAGCGUGAAAUUUCCUUCGGGGAAGAGUAAAGCGGCGGACGGGUGAGUAACGCGUAGGAAUCUGCCCAAAAGUGGGGGAUAACUUGGGGAAACCCAAGCUAAUACCGCAUAUACCUAAGGGUGAAAGGUGGGGAUCUUCGGACCUACCGCUUUUGGAGGAGCCUGCGUCGGAUUAGCUAGUUGGUGGGGUAAAGGCCUACCAAGACGAUGAUGCAUAGCCGACCUGAGAGGGUGAUC
This 244-nucleotide ribosomal RNA is filed under the name uncultured bacterium. RNAcentral describes it as "partial 16S ribosomal RNA". It matches the Rfam family "Bacterial small subunit ribosomal RNA", at positions 57 to 305 of the family's 1533-position model. The record is from RNAcentral.